CGAGCGAUCCCUUCGGGGGUAGCGGCGGACGGGUGAGUAACGCGUGGGAACGUGCCCUGGGGUAAGGAACAACCGCUGGAAACGGCGGCUAAUACCUUAUGAUGUCUUUCGAGACCAAAGAUUUAUCGCCUUUGGAUCGGCCCGCGUUGGAUUAGGUAGUUGGUGGGGUAAUGGCCUACCAAGCCUACGAUCCAUAGCUGGUUUGAGAGGAUGACCAGCCACACUGGGACUGAGACACGGCCCAG
This 245-nucleotide ribosomal RNA is filed under the name uncultured bacterium. RNAcentral's name for it is "partial 16S ribosomal RNA". It matches the Rfam family "Bacterial small subunit ribosomal RNA", at positions 63 to 334 of the family's 1533-position model. The record is from RNAcentral.